Cinara cedri is the source of this 5005-nucleotide non-coding RNA. Lineage: Eukaryota; Metazoa; Arthropoda; Insecta; Hemiptera; Aphididae. The record is from the annotation of a GenBank genome assembly.
UGUGGACCGCGCGCAGGCGUCGCGCGAUAAAGUUCAUUAGCGGACCGAACUCGAACGCCACUCAAUACCGCGCCAACGUAAUAUCGGCGUACAUUAUGCAAAACGCGGCGGAAAUAUUGUACGGGCACGCCGUACCGUAAGUAUAAAUUAUGUAUAUAUAUAUAUAUAUAUAAAAAACCCAUACAAUUGACGUGAGUGUCGGAAAAAAAUCUACGCAUAAAUACGUUGUAAAUACGAAUGGGUAUCCGAUAAAUAGCAAAAAAAAAAAAAACCGUUUCGAUAUUUUUAAAAGGUCACGGUGAAUUUUGUUAUUCUUCCUUUAAAUUAUUAUCCAAAUAAAAAAAAAAAAAAAAAAAAAAAAACCGUUUAAUUUCGGGUACACGUGACGCGUCCCGAGACGAACGCACGGAUUUUCGGCGGACAAUAUAAUAAUAAUAUUAUUUUACUGUCCGGCGUCCGACAUAAAUUACAAUCAUACGAGCGGGUACCGCGCGUACGUACAGCGCGUACUGUAAUACGCGAUUCGGUGUAUUUCAUUUUUUAUUAGUCGAUCGGCCGUAAUAUACCGACAUAAUUGCCGAGUGCGAGCCGUGCAUGUGUAAUAAUAAUAUUCGAACGAAACUGACAAAUUUAAUAUUUUACUCGAUAAUGACCGCCGUUUAACGCAACUCUCUCUCUCUCUCUCUCUCUCUCACACUGAACAAAAGCGUUUCCCAACCUUUCCCGGACCGCAUACGCACAGUGUCGAUAUCGAAAACGUGAUUCGACACGUACGCGCGCGAACACGGAAUCCGCGGAUGGAAAAUGAAUACGCCCGCGCGCGCGAGACGCGCAGGCGUGUUGUCAAUACACUACGAUGUAUCAAUAAUAUCGAUGUAUGCGCGCGUGUUUAUUAUCCCGUGUUUUCGCGUUGUUCACGCGAAAUAGGAAACACCAGUGUGCGGUGCACUCCACCUUGUUUGGGGGGGGGAAAUUUUUUUUCGAUUCGGCGUUUAUAAGUCAACACAGGAUCGCUUUCAUCGCACGUCCGUUAAAUCACUACAGGUAUCUGUUUUUGUUCGCCAUUACCGUAAUGGUCAACGCGAUUUCCGAGCUUGGCUUCACUUUUGAAAUUCCCGCUUGGAAAUACUGUUGCUCGGAGAGUUGCGCACAUAGCAACUGCACGCGCGUCGUCGAAUGACCAUUCGCCACGCUAAAUUUAUUAUUUCUUUAUCUUUUGUGUAAACAAAUUUUUUUGGCGGACCACCAACAACAGACCUGCGGACCACUGUACCGGUUCGGAACCACUGCAGCUCUACAAUUUACUGCACUGCACUCGACGACGGUAAUAUUAACAAACGUUCUUUUUGUUUUUUUCGUUAUACGAGUACACAUGCAAAACUCGUUCAAUUAAAAAUAAUAUGUUUUUAUAAAUCCCAAUCAUGGCCUUCGCCGUAAUACUCUACGGUAGCCGUUUUUAUUAUCGUCUGCGGUAAAUAUCAAUGGGCGCAGUUAAAUUAAUUGCCAUACCCCGCUCGUGUACGAUAAAUAUCCGGGUUAUCCGCGGAUAAAUCGUCCGUAAUCCGGUACACGAUUACAGACAAUAUGUCGUCAGACUGAUUUUUAACGAUGAUAUUGCGUAGAAAUGUAGAAAAUACACACUAAUUUAUUAUUGCGAUCACGGCAUAACGCUUUUGUGCAGUGCUUGAAUUGGAAAGAUAAAAGAAGGGGCCGACUGUGAGACGUUUAAAAAAAAUUUGCGUCCAUUUCUUGAAUGAUUGUCUUCAACCUGAUCCGCGGUGGGUUUCGUAUAAAAAAAAAACAAAAACAAAAAGAGCUAAUAGUGCUGAUGGCUACUGCUGUAGAUGAGAAGUAACAACUACUGUUGUUAUUAUGUAAGAUGCAUGUAGUUACAUCAUAUUUGUCUGUACGCAACGAUACGCGAUUGCAAAGUACAGUUGAAUACGUUUUAAAAAACCGAUAUUUUUGUAAUCAGAAUAUCGAAUACCUAUACAUAAUAUAAUAAUAUACACCUAUGUGUCAGUAAAAAUGAGAAAAAACAAAAUAAAAUAAUAAAAUUGUUAUUACGUAACAUAUUUGUCCGUUGUUUCCGGAUUAUUAAGAAAACCGCAUUGGAAAUCAAUUCAUUACGUUGCUUACGGGUAAAAAAACUAAAACAAACGCGUCACGGUAAAAUCAAUACAUUCCUCGUUGCGUUCAGAAUUUGAAAAUUUCGAUCACGAUAAAGUAGCGUUUUUUCAAAAAGCGUUUCGAGUUGGGUUUUUAAUGAAAAUCAUAAAAAUCGAGACUUUUCUACGCGUAUGUUAAACAGAACUUCGCUCAGAAUCGUUUUUCGUUAACGACCGUAAACGCGCGUUGUGCUCAGAUUUACAAUGACAGCACUCGUUCUGAAAGGAAAUCUGACUGAGGCGAUACUCUAAUGAGGUCAUUUUUCGAUUUUCCCGGGAGUUUUCCCAAUAAAUGUGAAAAAUCGGUGAAACGCGGGGAAAAAAACGUGGGAAAAACGGAAAAACAGUCGCAGUAUUAGAAAAAAAAAAAAAAAAAAAAACGCAUAUUAUGCGAUUGUUUUUUACCCGACGUGUAUAAUAUUGUCGACAAAGCAACACUGUCCACCGAAUAACCCGCUCAGGAUCGUCUUUUCGUUAGCAAUGUCGUUAUUACCGUCGCUCACGGACGUACAUCGAAUUUUCCCUCUACCACACGCUCGCCCGACCGUCGCGUCCGUAACCGUGACCGCGCCCGUCCCCGUUAUCCCAGGCCGACGAAACGCGCGAAAUCGUGCACGUCACGCCCCCCCCUCUCCCCCUCCCCGUACAAUAUUACGACGUUCGCGGGCGGUUCCGGACGGUUUCGCCGGACGCGAUAUUAUUGCAGUAAGCGUUCGGUAACGCGCGGUGAUCACGAUACGCGUAAUGACGCGCGGCGUGGUGCGGGUAUCCGUCGCGCCGGCGUUCCGCAAUCGUCCGACGGCCCGGGGCACCGCGCCUCGGCGGCGGGCGCGUCAUGACUCGUUUACACGACAAUAACAAUUGUUACCGUCGGCGGUAUCCGCGGUAUCCGCGGUAUUCCCGGUAACCGCGGUCAGGAAUGCCUCGUCGAAACCGCGGAACGAUGACGCCGGCGGCGGCGUUACGUAACGCAUUCAUACGUGUAAACGCGCGUUGCGUGUACGCACGCGUGCAGUGUAAAGGCGCUGAACGGCGCCGAAAAAUAGCGACGGGCCCGAACGUAUUCGCGCGUUUCUCGUUCAACAUGCGCGGCCGCGCGUCCCGUACAAAUAAUAGUAGCGUCGUACCUCGUAUUACAUUGUGUCGGGCGUGGCCUGCUGAUUCCCGGUGCCGAUAAUACGGAAUUUGAAUAUUUUGUCGAUUUCGACCGAUUAUUCGCGUUUCGAAGUUUUCCGGUUGUAGACGAGAGGAGGCGUCGAGCGACGAGAACGUGUUGUGACCCGUACUCACUAUACAAUAUCGUGUGUACUUCACUAUGCGUACGACGCGCUCUUCGCUGUUAAAAUGUAAUAAACACCGUGAACCGACGACGACGGUUCGAUGUUCCUCAUAUCGAACCGUCGUCAUCUCUGUUGGCAUUUAAAAAAAAAAAAAAAAAAAUUAGUUAAAACUAAUAAAAAACUUAUAAAAAAAAAAAAAUCAUGUCCGACAAACCCAAUCUUCGAGCGCGUCAAGUUCACGGUUUCUAAACGUGUUUAAAACUAUCGACUAUAAAUACAAUUUCGAAAAAAUUCGGUAAACCCAUUAUUGUAAAUUACGCAUUUAGGCGUAUGCGUAGAAACCUAAAUAAAUGAAACGAUGGAGGUGCGAUCGAGAUUUUCCGGGACAAAAAUUUGGUGGGCGGGUAGGCGGUUGGCAUCACCGGAACUGAGCAGUUAUGAUUUUUUCAGUUGCCGUCGGAUUCUGGAUGACUUUUUGACGGACAAACUAAUAAUCCGUUUCAGGGGGGUGGGUGGGUUGAAAAUAUUGUACCGUCCCGCCAAUUAAAAUUGUCCGCGCCGCCGUCAAAAUGAAAUAUCUUAAUUAUUCGUAAAUGGUCGACUGGAUAUUUUUUUAAAUUCUUAGAGUAUAUUUUAGUUAGUAUUUUUUUUUUUUUUUUUUUUACAUUGGUUAAUAUGAAUUUAUAUUUAAUGUUCAUACUUAAAUCGAAAAGUACACGGCAGACUGUAGAGACCGGUUCUCGGUUACUUAUCUCGCCGCACUUAAAAUAAACACCAUUGUAAAACUACAUUAUGAUAAUUAUCGUUUAUUUUUUUUUUUUUUUUUUUUUAUAGAUUCUGAGCGAAACAAGAAGUGUAUUGGUUGUGUGAUAAUAAUAUACAGAUGAGCUGAACUACAGCACGAUUCGGAAACAAUUUUCGACUGAUGGCGGUGGUGUACCUCGUUAAAAUAAUGUCAUGGACGGGCGGGUGGUACAUGCGCAUCCUGUCGGUCUACACUACGACGAGUCGUCACCAGUAGGUAAAAUAUGAUUUCUGACCUGCCGAACCUGCUGGUACUGUUUGUGUUUUUUUUUUUUUAUUACUCGUAAACAAUUUUUCAUACCGAAAAUCUUGUUCGAAUCAAAAACUUUAUUGGAAUAAUCGCGUAGCAUUUUUGAUCUAUAGCUGUUAAUUAGUUAGGUCAAGUUUUGAUUUUCUUUGUAUAAUUUUGUUAAAAUAAAAUGGGACAAACUGCGUAGUUUUUGUGUAGGCACAUCUUGGUUAUCUUCCGAUUUUCCUCCUAUGAACCAGUGACACACCCAUCAACAGGCUAAUACUGUUUGUGUAAUACAGUCAAAUCAAUUAUUGUUAUGUUUUUGUAAAUAAAAUAAUAAAAAUAACGUUACGAAUUUGUUGACUAAAUCAACAACCGUACACAACUUAUGUUUAGAAACCUGAAUAAGAGCCGAUACUUCUGACAGGUAUGCCACGGUUUUGAGAAGAUAGAAUACAAUGAGUUUUUAAAUUUAUAUCAGUACGCAACGAUAAAUCAUUGCUAACCAAAUACGAUGCGAA